This 1797-nucleotide ribosomal RNA is filed under the name Orbilia oligospora ATCC 24927. RNAcentral's name for it is "Arthrobotrys oligospora ATCC 24927 Eukaryotic small subunit ribosomal RNA". It matches the Rfam family "Eukaryotic small subunit ribosomal RNA". Lineage: Eukaryota; Fungi; Ascomycota; Orbiliomycetes; Orbiliales; Orbiliaceae. The record is from Rfam by way of RNAcentral.
UACCUAAUUGAUUUUGCUAAUAAUUAUAUGCUUAUCUCAAAAAUUAAGCCAUGCAUGUCUAAAUAUAAGUAACUAUACAGUGAAACUGUGAAUAGUUUAUUAAAUCAGUUAUCAUUUAUUUAAUAAUACCUUAUUACUUAAAUAACUAUGGUAAUUCUAAAGUUAAUACAUACUAAAAAUCCUGACCUCCAAAAAAAAUAUAUUUAUUAGAUAAAAAAUUAAUGCUUUCAGACUUUUUGGUGAUUCAUAAUAAUUUAAUGAAUCAUAUAAUUUUGUGCCAACAAUGGUUUAUUUAAAUUUUUAUUUUAUUAACUUUCAAUAAUAGGAUAGUGGUCUACCAUAGUUUUAAUGGAUAACGGGGAAUUAGGAUUUGAUUUUGGAGAGGGAAUUUAAGAAAUGGUUAUUAUAUCUAAGAAAAGCAGCAAAUGCGCAAAUUACCCAAUUUUAAUUCAAGGAGAUAAUAAUAAUAAAUACUGAUAUAAGGUUUUUUUAGAUCUUAUAAUUGGAAUGAAUACAAUUUAAAUUUUUUAACGAGGAAUAAUUGGAGGGUAAGUCUGGUGUCAGUAGUUGCAAUAAUUCCAGUUUUAAUAGCAUAUAUUAAAAUUGUUGUAGUUAAAAAGUUUGUAGUUGAACCUUGGGUUUGGCUGUUUGGUCUGUUUAAUUGUGUGCAUUGAUGUGGCUGGAUCUUUUCUUUUGGCUAACCUCAUACCCUUUAUUGGGUGUGCUGGGGAUUUAGGAUUUUUAUUUUGAAAAAAUUAAAGUAUUUAAAGCAAGCUUUUAUUUAAAUAUAUUAGUAUAAAAUAAUAGAAUAAAAUGGUGGUUUUAUUUUAUUAAUUUCUAAAAUUAUUAUAAUAAUUAAUAAAAAUAGUUGAAAAUAUUAAUAUUCAAUUGUCAGAAAUAAAAUUCUUAAAUUUAUUAAAGAUUAACUAUUACGAAAAUAUUUAUUAAAAAUGUUUUUAUUAAUUAAUAAACAAAAAUUAAAAAAUUAAAGAUAAUUAAAUAUUGUUAUAAUUUUAAUUAUAAACUAUAUUAAUUAAAAAUUGGAUGGUAUUUAAUUUAUAAUCUAUUUAAUAUUUUAUAAGAAAUUAAAGUUUUUAGAUUUUAAAGGAAAUAUAAUUGCAAGGUUGAAACUUAAAGGAAUUAAUAAAAAAGUAUUAUUAAAUGUGGAGUCUACAGUUUAAUUUGAUUUAAUAUAAAAAAAUUUAUUAAAUCCAAAUAUAUUAAAGAUUAAUAAAUUGAGAGUUCUUUUUUAAUUAUAUGGAUAAUAAUAUAUAACCAUUUUUAGUUAAUAAAAUAAUUUGUCUACUUAAUUGCGAUAAUGAAUAAGACUUUAAUUUGUUAAAUAGCUUGGUUAAUUUUUGUUGGUUAUUGGUUUCUUAGAGGGAUUAUCGGUUUAAGUUGAUGGAAGUUUGAGGUAAUAAUAGGUUUAUAAUAUUUUUAAAUGUUUUGGGUUGUAUGCAUAUUAUAUUGAUAAAGUUAAUGAGUAUAAUUUUUAGUUAAAAGGUUUAGAUAAUUUUGUUAAACUUUGUUAUAUUGGGGAUAGGGUAUUACAAUUAUUACUUUUUAAUGAGGAAUAUUUAGUAAACAUAAGUUAUUAGUUUAUAUUGAUUAUAUCUUUGCUUUUUGUAUAUAUUGUUUGUUGUUAUUAUUGAUUGAAUGGUUUAGUAAGGUUUUUAGACUAGCUUUAGAAGGUUAAUAAUAACUAUUUAGAGUCGGAAAGUUGGUUAAAUUUGGUUAUUUAGAGGAAGUAAAAGUUGUAAUAAAGUUUUUGUAGGUGAACUUGUGGAAAGAUUAUUA